Molecule: ribosomal RNA, 2760 nt
Filed under: Escherichia coli
Lineage: Bacteria; Pseudomonadati; Pseudomonadota; Gammaproteobacteria; Enterobacterales; Enterobacteriaceae
Description: partial 23S ribosomal RNA
Rfam family: Bacterial large subunit ribosomal RNA
Source: RNAcentral
CUGAAUCCAUAGGUUAAUGAGGCGAACCGGGGGAACUGAAACAUCUAAGUACCCCGAGGAAAAGAAAUCAACCGAGAUUCCCCCAGUAGCGGCGAGCGAACGGGGAGGAGCCCAGAGCCUGAAUCAGUGUGUGUGUUAGUGGAAGCGUCUGGAAAGGCGCGCGAUACAGGGUGACAGCCCCGUACACAAAAAUGCACAUAUUGUGAGCUCGAUGAGUAGGGCGGGACACGUGGUAUCCUGUCUGAAUAUGGGGGGACCAUCCUCCAAGGCUAAAUACUCCUGACUGACCGAUAGUGAACCAGUACCGUGAGGGAAAGGCGAAAAGAACCCCGGCGAGGGGAGUGAAAAAGAACCUGAAACCGUGUACGUACAAGCAGUGGGAGCCUCUUUAUGGGGUGACUGCGUACCUUUUGUAUAAUGGGUCAGCGACUUAUAUUCUGUAGCAAGGUUAACCGAAUAGGGGAGCCGAAGGGAAACCGAGUCUUAACUGGGCGUUAAGUUGCAGGGUAUAGACCCGAAACCCGGUGAUCUAGCCAUGGGCAGGUUGAAGGUUGGGUAACACUAACUGGAGGACCGAACCGACUAAUGUUGAAAAAUUAGCGGAUGACUUGUGGCUGGGGGUGAAAGGCCAAUCAAACCGGGAGAUAGCUGGUUCUCCCCGAAAGCUAUUUAGGUAGCGCCUCGUGAAUUCAUCUCCGGGGGUAGAGCACUGUUUCGGCAAGGGGGUCAUCCCGACUUACCAACCCGAUGCAAACUGCGAAUACCGGAGAAUGUUAUCACGGGAGACACACGGCGGGUGCUAACGUCCGUCGUGAAGAGGGAAACAACCCAGACCGCCAGCUAAGGUCCCAAAGUCAUGGUUAAGUGGGAAACGAUGUGGGAAGGCCCAGACAGCCAGGAUGUUGGCUUAGAAGCAGCCAUCAUUUAAAGAAAGCGUAAUAGCUCACUGGUCGAGUCGGCCUGCGCGGAAGAUGUAACGGGGCUAAACCAUGCACCGAAGCUGCGGCAGCGACACUAUGUGUUGUUGGGUAGGGGAGCGUUCUGUAAGCCUGUGAAGGUGGCCUGUGAGGGUUGCUGGAGGUAUCAGAAGUGCGAAUGCUGACAUAAGUAACGAUAAAGCGGGUGAAAAGCCCGCUCGCCGGAAGACCAAGGGUUCCUGUCCAACGUUAAUCGGGGCAGGGUGAGUCGACCCCUAAGGCGAGGCCGAAAGGCGUAGUCGAUGGGAAACAGGUUAAUAUUCCUGUACUUGGUGUUACUGCGAAGGGGGGACGGAGAAGGCUAUGUUGGCCGGGCGACGGUUGUCCCGGUUUAAGCGUGUAGGCUGGUUUUCCAGGCAAAUCCGGAAAACCAAGGCUGAGGCGUGAUGACGAGGCACUACGGUGCUGAAGCGACAAAUGCCCUGCUUCCAGGAAAAGCCUCUAAGCAUCAGGUAACAUCAAAUCGUACCCCAAACCGACACAGGUGGUCAGGUAGAGAAUACCAAGGCGCUUGAGAGAACUCGGGUGAAGGAACUAGGCAAAAUGGUGCCGUAACUUCGGGAGAAGGCACGCUGAUAUGUAGGUGAAGCGACUUGCUCGUGGAGCUGAAAUCAGUCGAAGAUACCAGCUGGCUGCAACUGUUUAUUAAAAACACAGCACUGUGCAAACACGAAAGUGGACGUAUACGGUGUGACGCCUGCCCGGUGCCGGAAGGUUAAUUGAUGGGGUUAGCGGUAACGCGAAGCUCUUGAUCGAAGCCCCGGUAAACGGCGGCCGUAACUAUAACGGUCCUAAGGUAGCGAAAUUCCUUGUCGGGUAAGUUCCGACCUGCACGAAUGGCGUAAUGAUGGCCAGGCUGUCUCCACCCGAGACUCAGUGAAAUUGAACUCGCUGUGAAGAUGCAGUGUACCCGCGGCAAGACGGAAAGACCCCGUGAACCUUUACUAUAGCUUGACACUGAACAUUGAGCCUUGAUGUGUAGGAUAGGUGGGAGGCUUUGAAGUGUGGACGCCAGUCUGCAUGGAGCCGACCUUGAAAUACCACCCUUUAAUGUUUGAUGUUCUAACGUUGGCCCGUAAUCCGGGUUGCGGACAGUGUCUGGUGGGUAGUUUGACUGGGGCGGUCUCCUCCUAAAGAGUAACGGAGGAGCACGAAGGUUGGCUAAUCCUGGUCGGACAUCAGGAGGUUAGUGCAAUGGCAUAAGCCAGCUUGACUGCGAGCGUGACGGCGCGAGCAGGUGCGAAAGCAGGUCAUAGUGAUCCGGUGGUUCUGAAUGGAAGGGCCAUCGCUCAACGGAUAAAAGGUACUCCGGGGAUAACAGGCUGAUACCGCCCAAGAGUUCAUAUCGACGGCGGUGUUUGGCACCUCGAUGUCGGCUCAUCACAUCCUGGGGCUGAAGUAGGUCCCAAGGGUAUGGCUGUUCGCCAUUUAAAGUGGUACGCGAGCUGGGUUUAGAACGUCGUGAGACAGUUCGGUCCCUAUCUGCCGUGGGCGCUGGAGAACUGAGGGGGGCUGCUCCUAGUACGAGAGGACCGGAGUGGACGCAUCACUGGUGUUCGGGUUGUCAUGCCAAUGGCACUGCCCGGUAGCUAAAUGCGGAAGAGAUAAGUGCUGAAAGCAUCUAAGCACGAAACUUGCCCCGAGAUGAGUUCUCCCUGACUCCUUGAGAGUCCUGAAGGAACGUUGAAGACGACGACGUUGAUAGGCCGGGUGUGUAAGCGCAGCGAUGCGUUGAGCUAACCGGUACUAAUGAACCGUGAGGCUUAACCUUACAACGCCGAAG